This 719-nucleotide ribosomal RNA is filed under the name uncultured bacterium. Its description in RNAcentral is "bacterial SSU rRNA". It matches the Rfam family "Bacterial small subunit ribosomal RNA", at positions 138 to 857 of the family's 1533-position model. The record is from RNAcentral.
GGGGGAUAACACUUAGAAAUAGGUGCUAAUACCGCAUAAGCGCACGGUUCCGCAUGGAACAGUGUGAAAAACUCCGGUGGUAUACGAUGGAUCCGCGUCUGAUUAGCCAGUUGGCGGGGUAACGGCCCACCAAAGCGACGAUCAGUAGCCGGCCUGAGAGGGUGAACGGCCACGUUGGGACUGAGACACGGCCCAAACUCCUACGGGAGGCAGCAGUGGGGAAUAUUGCACAAUGGGGGAAACCCUGAUGCAGCGACGCCGCGUGAGUGAAGAAGUAUUUCGGUACGUAAAGCUCUAUCAGCAGGGAAGAAAAAAAGUCCUUUGGACUUUGGACGGUACCUGACCAAGAAGCCCCGGCUAACUACGUGCCAGCAGCCGCGGUAAUACGUAGGGGGCAAGCGUUAUCCGGAUUUACUGGGUGUAAAGGGAGCGUAGACGGCAGCGCAAGUCUGGAGUGAAAUGCCGGGGCCCAACCCCGGAACUGCUUUGGAAACUGUGCAGCUGGAGUGCAGGAGAGGUAAGCGGAAUUCCUAGUGUAGCGGUGAAAUGCGUAGAUAUUAGGAGGAACACCAGUGGCGAAGGCGGCUUACUGGACUGUAACUGACGUUGAGGCUCGAAAGCGUGGGGAGCAAACAGGAUUAGAUACCCUGGUAGUCCACGCCGUAAACGAUGAUUACUAGGUGUCGGGGGGCCAAGGCCCUUCGGUGCCGCCGCAAACG